AGCGAACGCUGGCGGCAGGCUUAACACAUGCAAGUCGAACGAAGCCUUCGGGCUUAGUGGCGGACGGGUGAGUAACACGUGGGAACGUACCUUUUGGUUCGGAACAACACAGGGAAACUUGUGCUAAUACCGAAUGAGCCCUUAGGGGGAAAGAUUUAUCGCCAUUAGAGCGGCCCGCGUUGGAUUAGCUAGUUGGUGGGGUAAAGGCCCACCAAGGCUACGAUCCAGAGCUGAUCUGAGAGGAUGAUCAGCCACACUGGGACUGAGACACGGCCCAGACUCCUACGGGAGGCAGCAGUGGGGAAUCUAGGACAAUGGGCGAAAUCUUGAUCCAGCAAUGCCGCGUGAGUGAUGAAGGCCUUAGGGUUGUAAAGCUCUUUUACCCGGGAUGAUAAUGACAGUACCGGGAGAAUAAGCUCCGGCUAACUCCGUGCCAGCAGCCGCCGUAA
This 449-nucleotide ribosomal RNA is filed under the name uncultured bacterium. RNAcentral's name for it is "partial 16S ribosomal RNA". It matches the Rfam family "Bacterial small subunit ribosomal RNA", at positions 29 to 523 of the family's 1533-position model. The record is from RNAcentral.